This 216-nucleotide ribosomal RNA is filed under the name uncultured bacterium. Its description in RNAcentral is "partial 16S ribosomal RNA". The record is from RNAcentral.
CUGCUGCCUCCCGUAGGAGUCUGGUCCGUGUCUCAGUACCAGUGUGGGGGACCUUCCUCUCAGAACCCCUACGCAUCGUCGGUUAGGUGGGCCGUUACCCCGCCUACUGCCUAAUGCGCCGCAUGCCCAUCCCUGUCCGGCCGAAGCCUUUCCUGCCUCCGGGAUGCCCCGGUGGCAUGUACGCGGGUUUAGCCCGCCUUUCGGCGGUGUCCCUCC